GACGAACGCUGGCGGCGUGCCUAACACAUGCAAGUCGAGCGGGGAUUGCCGAAUGAAGUUUUCGGAUGGAUUUUGGUAAUUCUAGCGGCGGACGGGUGAGUAACGCGUGAGCAACCUGCCUAUCACUGGGGAAUAACGCAUCGAAAGGUGUGCUAAUACCGCAUGAGACCACAAUGGGACAUCCCGUAGGGGUCAAAGAUUUAUCGGUGAUAGAUGGGCUCGCGUCUGAUUAGCUAGUUGGUGAGGUAACGGCCCACCAAGGCGACGAUCAGUAGCCGACCUGAGAGGGUGAUCGGCCACAUUGGAACUGAGAAACGGUCCAAAACUCCUACGGGAGGCAGCAGUGGGGAAUAUUGGGGCAAAUGGGGGCGAACCCUGACCCACGCAACGCCGCGUGAAGGAAGAAGGCUUCGGUGUAACGUACUGUNUUACGGUAAGAAGACAGUGACGGUACC
This 455-nucleotide ribosomal RNA is filed under the name uncultured bacterium. RNAcentral describes it as "bacterial SSU rRNA". It matches the Rfam family "Bacterial small subunit ribosomal RNA", at positions 28 to 479 of the family's 1533-position model. The record is from RNAcentral.